UUGCUUCCGCCGACGACCGGCGCACGGGUGCGUAACGCGUAUACAAUCUACCUUAUACUGGGGUAUAGCCUUUAGAAAUGAAGAUUAACCCCCCAUAGUCUCUUAGAGUGGCAUCACUUCUAGAGUAAAGGUUACGGUAUAAGAUGAGUAUGCGUUCUAUUAGUUUGUUGGUGUGGUAACGGCACACCAAGACUACGAUAGAUAGGGGCCCUGAGAGGGGGAUCCCCCACACUGGUACUGAGACACGGACCAGACUCCUACGGGAGGCAGCAGUGAGGAAUAUUGGACAAUGGAGGCAACUCUGAUCCAGCCAUGCCGCGUGCAGGAAGACUGCCCUAUGGGUUGUAAACUGCUUUUAUACAGGAAGAAACACCUCUACGUGUAGAGGCUUGACGGUACUGUAAGAAUAAGGAUCGGCUAACUCCGUGCCAGCAGCCGCGGUAAUACGGAGGAUCCAAGCGUUAUCCGGAAUCAUUGGGUUUAAAGGGUCCGUAGGUG
RNAcentral lists this ribosomal RNA (498 nucleotides) under uncultured Bacteroidota bacterium. Its description in RNAcentral is "bacterial SSU rRNA". It matches the Rfam family "Bacterial small subunit ribosomal RNA", at positions 79 to 577 of the family's 1533-position model. The record is from RNAcentral. Lineage: Bacteria; Pseudomonadati; Bacteroidota.